GCUGAAUGAAAAAGGUCAUAGGAACAACAUUUAUUUUGCUGGUUAUAAUGUACAUAUAAAUUUUAUAAGUCAUUUUAACUUUUGUCCACACAACAGCUAAUCAUGUUAUUUUAUAAUAUUUAUUAUAGAUUUCAACAUUGUUGUUACUUAAAAAAUAAAGGCAAAAAGAAAGUAACACAGGUAACCAGAAACAAAGAAGCUGAGCUGGC
This 209-nucleotide unclassified non-coding RNA is filed under the name Hevea brasiliensis (rubber tree). Lineage: Eukaryota; Viridiplantae; Streptophyta; Magnoliopsida; Malpighiales; Euphorbiaceae. The record is from RNAcentral.